UUAUUAUAUGUUUUUUUUUUAUUAAUUUUUUUUAAUAAUUUUAUUUUUUUUUAGUAGGUAUAAAUAAAUAAUUAGGGUUAUUUAACUGUAAAGGGUUAUUAUUUAUUGUUAUAGAAUUAAUAUUAUGUACCUUUUGUAUCAGGGUUCAUUUAAAUAAAAAUAUAUUUAUUUAUAUCCCGAAUUUAGUUGACUUAAGUUUAUAUAUUUAUUUAUGUUUCAUAAUAAUAUAGGAUUUAAAUUUAGUAAUUAUAAGUUAUUCGUUUCUAAGGAUAUCUGGUUAAUUAGUAUUAAAUUUAAUUUUAAUUAUUAUAUGUAAUUUAUGUAAUAAGGGAUAAUCUUUAUUAUUUAUUAAAAUUUAUUUUAUGAUAUAUUUAAUAUUAAUUAUAUUUUAAUUAAGUUUAUAAUAAAUUGGUAUAAUAAAUUAUGAUUUUUUUGUAUUUAAUAUCAUAUUAAUUUUUUUUAUUUAAUGUAUUUAUAUUUUUAAUAUUGAUUAAAUUAGUAUAAUUUACAAUUAUUAUUUUAUGAAUUCAACAAAUAUAUAUUCUCAAAUGUUUAUCAAAAACAUUUCUUUUAGUUAAUUUUUAAAAGUAUAAUCUGCUCAAUGAUUAAUUUUAAAUAGCUGCAGUAUUUUGACUGUACAAAGGUAGCAUAAUAAUUAGUCUUUUAAUUGAAGUCUAGAAUGAAUGAUUGAAUGAGGAAUAAUUUUUAUUUUUUUUAAUAUUAAAAUUUAAUUAAUUAGUGAAAAAGCUUAUUUAUUUUUUUGGGACGAGAAGACCCUAUAGAACUUAAUUUUAUUAGUAAAUACUUUAUAUUUUAGUUUAUAUUUUUACAAAUUUAUUUGUAAAAUUUAGUUGGGGUGAUUAUUAAAUAUAAACUUUAAUUUUAUUAUUCAUGGUUAUAUGAUUUUUUGAUCCAUUAUUUUUUGAUUAUAAGAUGAAGUUACCUUAGGGAUAACAGCGUAAUUUUAAUGGUAAGUUCAUAUUUAUAUUAAAGUUUGCGACCUCGAUGUUGAAUUAAGAUAUUAUUAGGGGGUAGAUUCUCUAAAGUAUAAGUCUGUUCGACUUUUAAUUUCUUACAUGAUUUGAGUUCAGACCGGUGUGAGCCAGGUCGGUUUCUAUCUAAAAAUAAAUUUAUUAUUCUAGUACGAGAGGACCGUUUAAUUCAAUAUUUUAUUGUUUAUAUUAAAU
This 1187-nucleotide ribosomal RNA is filed under the name Hypsauchenia hardwickii. RNAcentral's name for it is "16S ribosomal RNA". The stretch from base 950 to 1109 matches the Rfam family "Archaeal large subunit ribosomal RNA", at positions 2542 to 2701 of the family's 2987-position model. The record is from RNAcentral. Lineage: Eukaryota; Metazoa; Arthropoda; Insecta; Hemiptera; Membracidae.